AAUACAUGCAAGUCGAACGCUUCUUUUUCCACCGGAGCUUGCUCCGCCGGAAAAAGAGGAGUGGCGAACGGGUGAGUAACACGUGGGUAACCUGCCCAUCAGAAGGGGAUAACACUUGGAAACAGGUGCUAAUACCGUAUAACAAUCGAAACCGCAUGGUUUUGAUUUGAAAGGCGCUUUCGGGUGUCGCUGAUGGAUGGACCCGCGGUGCAUUAGCUAGUUGGUGAGGUAACGGCUCACCAAGGCGACGAUGCAUAGCCGACCUGAGAGGGUGAUCGGCCACAUUGGGACUGAGACACGGCCCAAACUCCUACGGGAGGCAGCAGUAGGGAAUCUUCGGCAAUGGACGAAAGUCUGACCGAGCAACGCCGCGUGAGUGAAGAAGGUUUUCGGAUCGUAAAACUCUGUUGUUAGAGAAGAACAAGGAUGAGAGUAACUGUUCAUCCCUUGACGGUAUCUAACCAGAAAGCCACGGCUAACUACGUGCCAGCAGCCGCGGUAAUACGUAGGUGGCAAGCGUUGUCCGGAUUUAUUGGGCGUAAAGCGAGCGCAGGCGGUUUCUUAAGUCUGAUGUGAAAGCCCCCGGCUCAACCGGGGAGGGUCAUUGGAAACUGGAAGACUUGAGUGCAAAAGAGGAGAGUGGAAUUCCAUGUGUAGCGGUGAAAUGCGUAGAUAUAUGGAGGAACACCAGUGGCGAAGGCGGCUCUCUGGUCUGUAACUGACGCUGAGGCUCAAAAGCGUGGGGAGCAAACAGGAUUAGAUACCCUGGUAGUCCACGCCGUAAACGAUGAGUGCUAAGUGUUGGAGGGUUUCCGCCCUUCAGUGCUGCAGCUAACGCAUUAAGCACUCCGCCUGGGGAGUACGACCGCAAGGUUGAAACUCAAAGGAAUUGACGGGGGCCCGCACAAGCGGUGGAGCAUGUGGUUUAAUUCGAAGCAACGCGAAGAACCUUACCAGGUCUUGACAUCCUUUGACCACUCUAGAGAUAGAGCUUCCCCUUCGGGGGCAAAGUGACAG
Molecule: ribosomal RNA, 1017 nt
Filed under: Enterococcus sp. Taj-TS 329
Lineage: Bacteria; Bacillati; Bacillota; Bacilli; Lactobacillales; Enterococcaceae
Description: bacterial SSU rRNA
Rfam family: Bacterial small subunit ribosomal RNA
Source: RNAcentral